RNAcentral lists this long non-coding RNA (246 nucleotides) under Brassica napus (rape). RNAcentral's name for it is "long non-coding RNA (BNAP_LNC010137)". Lineage: Eukaryota; Viridiplantae; Streptophyta; Magnoliopsida; Brassicales; Brassicaceae. The record is from RNAcentral.
AUGCGAGCUGUCGGAAACUUCUGAUAGAGUUUCCCUUAAGGCGUGCGAACGAUUCGAGGGCUGCUCCUUCUAGAUUCUCGACAAACAGGCGGCAGUAGCCGGCGUCUUUUUCGCCGUCCUUCAGCCUCGCUCUUCCCAUCGUGAUGUGGAAAGCCUGAAGGUGCACCUUCGGAUCGGUCGUACCAUCAUACCUCGGUACUUUGAGUUUUUCCGGAUCGGAUACCCUCAUAUCUGAGAUGCGAGUGG